CACUUGUUGAGGACAAGGUCAGAGGUAAAAGUAACAUUCAAAUUGUAAAACGCCUCUUUCUUACCUCUUCCCUGCUAUGCUCUCCCUAUACAGGAGCUCUAGCGAUGGACAGUUUGUAUCCAUCUUUACUAGUACCUGUAGGUUCCUGCUUCAAUUUAACACCCCAUCCCCAUUUGCCCCCACUGGAGAAUGGAGACAGCACACAGUGAUCAGUCUUCAAGGAUUUGAUAAUCAUGGAGCGUGAAUGAAGAGGUCUCUACUCCAGCACACAGUUGAGACACUUUGGCAGGACAGUUGGGGAAUAUUGUUCUCUUGCUGUGUCUGUUAUGUGAAUAAAUAAGGAAUUUAAUUCUCCA
Molecule: long non-coding RNA, 356 nt
Filed under: Chrysemys picta bellii (western painted turtle)
Lineage: Eukaryota; Metazoa; Chordata; Testudines; Emydidae
Description: lncRNA (ENSCPBG00000005498.1)
Source: RNAcentral